RNAcentral lists this ribosomal RNA (969 nucleotides) under Triticum aestivum (bread wheat). RNAcentral describes it as "partial small subunit ribosomal RNA". The record is from RNAcentral. Lineage: Eukaryota; Viridiplantae; Streptophyta; Magnoliopsida; Poales; Poaceae.
AUGGCGGACGGAGGCGGUGGACGGGCGGCGGAGCUGAAGGACCAGGGGAACGAGCAGUUCAAGUCGGGGAACUACCUCAAGGCCGCCGCGCUCUACACGCGGGCCAUCAAGCUCGACUCCGACAACCCCACCCUCUACAGCAACCGAGCUGCUGCAUUUCUGCAGCUGGUUAAGCUUAAUAAGGCACUUGCUGAUGCUGAGACGACAAUAAAACUGAAACCAGAAUGGGAGAAGGGUUAUUUCAGGAAAGGAUGUGUUUUGGAGGCCAUGGAGCAGUAUGAGGAGGCAAUAUCUGCUUUUCAAAUAGCUUUGCAGCACAAUCCACAAAAUACAGAAGUCGCGAGAAAGAUCAAGAGGCUUACUCAGUUAGCAAGGGAACAGAAGCGAGCUGUUGAUGUGGAGAACCUGCGUUCCAAUAUUGACAUCGGGAAGAACUUGCAGUCAUUGAAAAAGGAGCUGGCUACAAAGUAUGGAGAUGCAGAAAUGGGACAAAAUAUAUUCUCAUUUGUUAUCAGUGUGAUUGAAACAGCGAUUAAGGCUUGGCAUGACACAGGAAAGGUGGAUGCAAAGGUCAAUUUUCUUCUUGAUGAUCAGAAGACUGACACUGAAAAAUAUGCCCCAGUGGUUAACAUUGAGAAGGCCUUUGAGUCACCCCAUACCCAUGGCAGUUGCUUUGCAUAUUUGCGGCAAUACUCUGAGGAGUCUUUUUCAAAGGCUGCUUGCAUGGUAGCACCUAAGAGCAUCAUCUCCUAUCCACAGGUCUGGAAAGGUCAAGGAUCAAGAAAAUGGAAGCUUGACCAGAGUGAUGGAUUCUUUGUACAAUUUGAAUCACCAAUUUUACGGAAGAUAUGGUUUGUUGCUAGCACAGCAGAGAAGGGACGAGCAUUGUGCAGGAGCCCUGAGCCCUUGGACAUUACCAUCCACGAGAUCCUUCCUCGUAUAUUCAAAGAGAACGAAACCAGUGCUUGA